AGCUAGGUAUAAUUAAGUGCUUAAUAAGUCACUUAUUGUGAGGUCUAGAUUUCAAAUAAUGAGUCACUACAAUACCUACCAACCUCAAGGAGCAUAUCCACCACCGAGCCAGCAGGCGCAUCCUCCUCCUCCACCACCACAGUAUUCCUAUCCACCACCAGGUCAAGGGUAUCAUCAAGGUCCUUAUGUUGCACCACCUGCAGCUAGUCACCCUAUGAAUAACGGUGCUCAACAGCCACCACCUCCUGAAAAAAAGAAGCAUAAAUGUUGGCGUCGUUGUCUGUGUUGUUGUCUGGAUUGUUGCUGCGAGUGCUUCUCCAGUAUUUGAUUUGAUGAGUGUGAGUCAUCAUUACUCAAUCACAUCUCUGGGAAUUCUUGUGGAAAAUGGACCUAAUUUGUUUAGUAUCCAUUUACGUAAUAUAUUAUAUUUUUCAUGUAAUGUGACUUUUAAUUAUUUCAAUUAAAUAUGCAACAAUAAUGGUGUUUUUCUUUCAAA
Molecule: long non-coding RNA, 496 nt
Organism: Populus nigra (black poplar)
Lineage: Eukaryota; Viridiplantae; Streptophyta; Magnoliopsida; Malpighiales; Salicaceae
Exons: 3
Source: RefSeq, a predicted model, not a curated record